GUGCCAGCAGCCGCGGUAAUACGUAGGUGGCAAGCGUUAUCCGGAAUUAUUGGGCGUAAAGCGCGCGUAGGCGGUUUUUUAAGUCUGAUGUGAAAGCCCACGGCUCAACCGUGGAGGGUCAUUGGAAACUGGAAAACUUGAGUGCAGAAGAGGAAAGUGGAAUUCCAUGUGUAGCGGUGAAAUGCGCAGAGAUAUGGAGGAACACCAGUGGCGAAGGCGACUUUCUGGUCUGUAACUGACGCUGAUGUGCG
RNAcentral lists this ribosomal RNA (251 nucleotides) under uncultured Staphylococcus sp. Its description in RNAcentral is "partial 16S ribosomal RNA". It matches the Rfam family "Bacterial small subunit ribosomal RNA", at positions 505 to 755 of the family's 1533-position model. The record is from RNAcentral. Lineage: Bacteria; Bacillati; Bacillota; Bacilli; Caryophanales; Staphylococcaceae.